Molecule: ribosomal RNA, 317 nt
Filed under: uncultured soil bacterium
Lineage: Bacteria
Description: bacterial SSU rRNA
Rfam family: Bacterial small subunit ribosomal RNA
Source: RNAcentral
AGAGUGAACGCUGGCGGUAGGCCUAACACAUGCAAGUCGAACGGCAGCACAGUGGUAGCAAUACCAUGGGUGGCGAGUGGCGGACGGGUGAGGAAUACAUCGGAAUCUACCUUUUCGUGGGGGAUAACGUAGGGAAACUUACGCUAAUACCGCAUACGCCCUUCGGGGGAAAGCCGGGGAUCGCAAGACCUGGCGCGGAUAGAUGAGCCGAUGUCGGAUUAGCUAGUUGGUGAGGUAAUGGCUCACCAAGGCGACGAUCCGUAGCUGGUCUGAGAGGAUGAUCAGCCACACUGGAACUGAAGACACGGUCCAGACCU